AGUGAACGCUGGCGGUAGGCCUAACACAUGCAAGUCGAACGGCAGCACAGUAAGAGCUUGCUCUUACGGGUGGCGAGUGGCGGACGGGUGAGGAAUACAUCGGAAUCUACUUUUUCGUGGGGGAUAACGUAGGGAAACUUACGCUAAUACCGCAUACGACCUACGGGUGAAAGCAGGGGAUCUUCGGACCUUGCGCGAUUGAAUGAGCCGAUGUCGGAUUAGCUAGUUGGCGGGGUAAAGGCCCACCAAGGCGACGAUCCGUAGCUGGUCUGAGAGGAUGAUCAGCAACACUGGAACUGAGAAACGGUCCAGACUCCUAGGGGAGGAAGCGGUGGGGAAUAUUGGACAAGGGGCGAAAGCCUGAUCCAGCCAUACCGGGGGGGGGAAGAAGGCCUUGGGGUUGUAAAGCCCUUUUGUUGGGAAAAAAAAGCAGCAGGUUAAAACCCCGCUGUUCUGAGGGUACCAAAAGAAUAAGCACCGGCUAAUUUCGG
This 491-nucleotide ribosomal RNA is filed under the name uncultured bacterium. Its description in RNAcentral is "partial 16S ribosomal RNA". It matches the Rfam family "Bacterial small subunit ribosomal RNA", at positions 29 to 506 of the family's 1533-position model. The record is from RNAcentral.